RNAcentral lists this long non-coding RNA (755 nucleotides) under Gossypium barbadense (sea-island cotton). RNAcentral's name for it is "long non-coding RNA (GBAR_LNC002050)". The record is from RNAcentral. Lineage: Eukaryota; Viridiplantae; Streptophyta; Magnoliopsida; Malvales; Malvaceae.
AAAAAUUCUUUCCACAAACGUCUUCACAAAUAUCAUCAGUCUUUUUGAAAUUAGAAUACCCGUAAGAAAUGAUUAGGUUCUUUUGUAGAAACCCAAUUCCAAUAUCUCUAAUCAUCAAUUCCAUUUAUUGUCGUCCCUUUGACAUAUGUUUCCAUGCAUAUACUCUCCCGAUUACUCUGUCCAGCCAUACUUCCUAAACGUGCUCUACCCUAAUCCCUCUAAAGUUCAUAGUCAAUGAUCCUGGUAAACAACAUUCCUGGGUUUGGUCCACGCUCACCACACCAUUGUUGGAACAAAAUUUAAUUCGUCAGGAGAAAAAAAAAGGGGGUUCUUUGAUGAAGAAUGAGAUGAAAAGAAGAGUGUCUGGAGCGCAAACACCCCUAAAUAGGGUCUUUAGAAAUGUAUAUAAGGAGGCUUUUCCGAGUCAAAUUCUGAGUCAUUAGAGCGAGUCGAACUUCGAAUCGAGUUAUGAUAUAUUUUAUUAUAAUUAUAUAACAAGGUUAAAAUAAUAAUUUAAGUUAUUCUAUUUGAUGUAAUUUUUUAACUAAUAUCAUUUUAUUUUCUCCAUCCAAAAUUAAAAUAAAACCUCAUCUCUUCAUAAAUAAGUGUCCUUUGCACGCCUAUUAACCUUCUCUCUAUUCCCUUUAAAUUCCCAAGAAAAAAACUUUCUUUAAAUAACUCUUUGGUGGAAGAUAACCUUGUUCACCCUCAAUUUUUAAUGGCAAAUCUUGAUUAUCCAUCUAAAUUCAUGAAAG